Molecule: long non-coding RNA, 2317 nt
Organism: Triticum aestivum (bread wheat)
Lineage: Eukaryota; Viridiplantae; Streptophyta; Magnoliopsida; Poales; Poaceae
Exons: 3
Source: RefSeq, a predicted model, not a curated record
UCAUGUUUCUCUUCUCUCGAUUCCCCAAGCCGAAGCCAGCCGCCGCCGACUCCCCAACCCCGACCUCCACUCCACCGCCAGCGGCCUCUCCCCCUCUCUCCCUGGACGCAUAUCCACUCGAGCAGCACAGCCCACAGUCAGAUCCGCCCCUCCGUCCUCGCGCCAGAAACCCUAGCCGUCUGGCCAUGGCGACCGACCGCAGGCACAUGCCUCGACGAUGGUGGGGCCACGGAGCGGAGCUUCCUCUGCCCGAGACGCUGCUCAUGUGCUCAUCAAGGUCCGCUGCUCCUUCCUCCAGUCCCAGUCCCAGGAUAAGCAGCAGCAACAUUAAGGUACGGCCCUCUCUCUUGAUUUCCUCUUAUUCCCUCCCUUUCCUUUCCCUAAGGCAUGGGAUUUGCUUUCCUUGGUAGGUGCACGCAUCUCCUCCUCCUUGCCAUUUGUUGUGUUGCUCCAUGAGCAGAUAACUUUCUAUAGUAGAGAUCUAAUAAGCUUCUGUUGAUUUUUUCAGCGGAAAAAAGUUACAUUUUCUUGACCAUAUCUAUCCUUUAGUGAACUUUGUAACAGGCUAUUCAAGCAGGAGUAUGUGUAGACAUAUUUGUUGUAACUGAUGAAUACACCAAUUUGGCUUCGUCGAAGUUUUAAAGUAUUGAAAGUGGUGGUUCAUUAUUUGUCUAUGCAAACUCGGAUGAUUCAACACUUCACCAGGACAUGUGAGCUUGAUCUUAUGAUUGUCCUCUGUAUUUUAUUUCUGAAAUUCCCCUGCGUAGGUUCCUGAUAAGAUGUCAAAUUCCACCGCCUAGGUUCUUGAUAAGAUGUGAAUGGUCUUCUCCUUGUUGCCUUGCCUUUUCUUAUGAACAGGUAUCGCAUGUUGAGUUGAUCCUAUGCAUUUGGUUGUGUUCUCAGGCUGAGAACAUCACAAGAUUUUGAUCCGGGCCACUCUGUAAGCCUUCAAGCUACCCGUAUUCACAUUAUCUGUAGGAUCAAAUCCCAUGUCUGUCACAGUAAAAGUGUUUAACCCACCUUGGGUGCCACUGACCUGUUAGGUUUGGACCCACAUGCCAUUGGUGCAAUAGUGGCAUAACUGUUAUGAAAAAUUGCAGUGACAGAUAAGGAUUUAACACUUAACCAUACCAUCUAAUUUUAAUGUAUCCAUCUUUUUGCAGUAUGGCCAUUUCUUCCCUGAUCCUCAAUAUGAAAAUGUGCAACAUAUUAACUGCUGUGAUUCAAUUCAGAUUAUCAUAGGUAAUUCGCAUAAUGGAUUGUCAUAAAUAAUUUGCAUCAUGUUGUACCAACAGACAAAGGGAGUGCAUGGUUCUACUAGCUUAUUUGUGUUCGAGCCUCCAACAGGCUUUGCAUGCCCCAAGAUUUGAAGCGUGACUUACUUUUUUGUGUCGACUGAAUUCUUUUGUUACAAUCAUCAGUGGAGAUUUCUAAAAAAAAUAUGUGGAUUGGUAAGACUAAGUUCGACUAUCGUAUUUAAUGGGUCAUAAUUUCUUAUUCCCAAAGCAGAUGUUAAACUAAAAUACAUGAGUUCAUGGGGGAGCACGUCAACAAGGCUGCUGCAUGAGUUCAUGUCGUCGGCAGUGGCUCACACGUCAACAAGGCCGAUGAAAUCAGGGGGGGCACGAGUGGGUCCGAGGACGAGCACACUUGAUGCUUCUUUAAUUCACUACAGCAAAAUACUACUUCUUGGUGGCGUAUGGAUGUCGCACUGUAUGGAUCUUGAUCUGUAGUUGGAUAGUUCCUGACCUCAUUCCAGGAGGCUGGUUGGAGCCUGCCAACUGCAAUGAAGUCCUCCAUAGACAAGGGUUUGCAGAAAAUGAUCUUGGCAUCCCAGAUAAGCAGGUCGGGGUCAAAGCCAGUGCCGAGGGGGAUUUCAAUGGAUUACCAACACGAGAAACUGAAAUGGCAGGACCAGAAAAGAUGGUCCCAGAUCUAACUGCAGCCGGAUGUGCAAGAACACAUCAAUGAUCAUCUGUGAGACUCACACUGAAAUUUUGUCGAUGGAGCAUUAUUUCUGCUAUUUAGCUUCUAGAGUACAAUGACUUGUACGUACAACUAUAACAGCUAGCAGCAUGGUUUAUCCCCUUCUGGUUCUACUAUUUCUCUAGAGUGAUGGCAUAGGAAGAGCAUGUGUAUAUGUUGAGGUUAGUCUUCCGAAACUAAUGCUGCAGAUGUUCUUUCUAGACCCAGCAUGUGUAUUUAUUUUAUUUUUACUUCUUUGUGACGUUUGUUGGUUUGGCAUGUGGAUAAGAAUUAUUUUUUUGUUUAUGAAUUCUUUCAUGUAACACCCCGGAUGUAACUUUCCAUAUUUGUA